GUCCACGCCGUAAACGGUGGAUACUAUGUGUGGGAGAUAACCAACUUCUUCCGCGCCGUCGCUAACGCAUUAAGUAUCCCGCCUGGGGAGUACGGCCGCAAGGCUAAAACUCAAAGGAAUUGACGGGGACCCGCACAAGCAGCGUAGCAUGUCGCUUAAUUCGAUGCAACGCGAAGAACCUCACCUGGAUUGAACUACGCCGGAAAAGCUACAGAGAUGUAGUGUCCUUCGGGCCGGCGAUAGGUGGUGCAUGGCUGUCGU
Molecule: ribosomal RNA, 261 nt
Filed under: uncultured bacterium
Lineage: Bacteria
Description: partial 16S ribosomal RNA
Rfam family: Bacterial small subunit ribosomal RNA
Source: RNAcentral